CAUAGAUUAGUGUUCUUCAUAAUGUCGUAUAUUUUGUAUACUCGCGUUGCUUUUAUAUUGACUUAUUAUUUUGUUUUUAUCCCCAAGAGAAUUCUGAUAGUUACCGAUUUUAGUUGAUAUAGUUUUAAUUAGGAUUGGGCGUUUACGCAUAAAAUAUAAUUUACAUUACGCCUAAAAUGAAAAAUAUUUGUCAAUUAUCUUACUUGUCAUCUAUGUAAACAAUAAUAAAAUGAAUCAUUAAAGAUUCAGAUUUUAUCAGAAAUAAUAAGAAUUAUAUUUAAUUUUUUUAUUUCUAAGAUUAUUUUUAAUUUAUCAAAAAGUCAAAUCUAUUAACAAAUUUUACAACUUAAUUACUUUUUUGUACUAUGUUAUCCAAUUUGUAAUAAUGUGCAUUGUUUGAAUUACCUACAAUGCAGAAAAAGAUUGGUCCUAUAGGAAACAAUGUGUAGAUAAUUCACGUGGAUGUAAUCUCCAAAAAUUUACACCACAAUCAUGAUUUUUUAAGAUAAAAAUCCUUUCAGACUUACUGAUACUGAUGCGCAGCAGUGGAGUUACAAACUGCAUUAAUCUGUAACAUAUAAUAAUAAAUAUGUACAAAUUAAAAUAAUCAACAUUUCAAAAGAUAUAAAUUAUUACACGCAUUUAAUUCUUUAUUUAUUCAUUAAACAGUCUCGCUAGUAGCAAAAAACGGUGACACAAUAUUGAAAAGUAAUAUAAUAUUCCCAAUAUUGGUUCAAUAUUAUAAAGUGAAUGCUUCAUCUUAUUCACCCAAUUUGUCUAAGCAGCAAUAUUGGUUCAAUAUUGAUUUAGUAUUAGGUCGGUAUUGAACCAAUUGAUUUUUCAUAUUAAACAUUAAUUGCAUUCUAACUUGGAACCAAUAUUUUAUGACAAAUAUUGGCAUUACAUUGGGGAACAUUGGGAAAACUUUGGUCAAUGCAUUCCCAAUAUAACUAAUAUAAUUAAUAUUUAGUCAAUAUUAGCCAAUAUACUGCCAAUGUAUUUUGCUACUAGGGAGAUAUUUAAUUUAACAAAUUAAAUUGUAUUUACAAUAAUCUUUUAGACAAAACUCUCAUAAAAAGUAAUUAUAAAUACAUAAAAACUUCUCAAUAGUAAAUAGUUUUACCCAUGGUUGCUCCACCGACGCCUGAUGCCCUCCUUGGACCUCCUCCCCCUUCUUCGUUAUCGUCGCUCCUCCAUCACCUCCAUGGCACCUUCGUGCGGCAGUUGCCACACACUAUUUGCAUGACAAUAAUUGAAGCUAACAACUGAAUCGCGUGAUACUUUACGUCCUUUACGACACUCCCGAUGACGAUCACAAAACGGAAGAACGCGCGAUUCCGCGAAACUACGAUUCGCUCGAAAACCGCUUCUUCACGACACUCGGUACAAGAUUCACUCGCGAAAAACGCGUUGUCGACGAGAAUCAUGCGUUCGCUGCGCGAACGAUACGCAACGAUCACACGCGAGUAAAACACGAAACGAGAUUUGUUUGACUCGCGAUGCAACAGGUGCUAACCUUGCAUACGAACGCAGUUACUUCUACGCACAGUGUACACUUGAAAAACGCGGCCGCGGUUUCGUUCUCCUACGGGCUCCGGGCUUCUCCUCCGCGUUGGCGCGUUUACGCAGCCUAAACGUUUACCGACCGAGUCGAAGGCCUGCGCAGUCGUUACAGCUUCGCGCGACGGCCACGUAGUUCUGGAGCGCGCGCGCGCGCGCGAGUAUCGCGUAUAUUGUGCGGGUGAAAAGAAUUGUUAGAAAAAUGUGUGUGCGACGGAAGAGCGAAUUCUCUCCUGGGGGCUAUGCAUUUGUGAUCGCGCCGCUUCAAUUCGCCGACGUCGCCGUCGGCCAUUUAGGACGCGCCGGUGUCACAAAAGUAUGUUCACGCAUCCGGACCUUGGGGAUCACUAGAAAAUGUUUAACAGCGGCACGAGGUAAUACUAACCGUUAAUUCAUGUAUGUGCGUUGGAUUUCAACGUACGACAUGAGGUAAAACUAAUUAUUUAACGUUUUCGAUCGGCCUGGGUUAAUCGCUCCGGGAGCGAUUAAUGACGUCAUAAGGUCAAUCACAGCCAUUCUUCUGAAGAAGGGAAUAACUGUGAUUGGCCAGUUCCAGAGGAAAUCCCGCCAAUUAUACUCACUCUCUCGAUUUUUUUUCAGGGUAUGUUCACGCAUCCGGACCUUGGGGAUCACUAGAAAAUGUUUAACAGCGGCAGGAAGUAAUACUAACCGUUAAUUCAUGUGCAUUGGAUUUCGACGUACAACACGAGGUAAAACUAAUUAUUUAACGUUUUCGAUCGGCCUGGGUUAAUCGCUCCGGGAGCGAUUAAUGACGUUAUAAGGUCAAUCACAGCCAUUCUUCUGAAGAAGGGAUAACUGAUUGGCCAGUUCCAGAGGAAAAGACGGGUCGAAAACGCCAAUUAAUUCAUGUACACUGCACUUCUUGUACUCAAUUUUAUUGAAUUUUGUCUUAUUUCCGAAGGGCUUUUUAUUCUUUAUUAUGUUAGGGAUAAUAUUGGCAAGAUAAUGUCGUUGAUUCAGAGAAUUGUAUCUGGAGAGAAAAGUCUCUAAUUAAAUAUAAAUUAAUAUAAUUGAAGGCAAGAA
Molecule: long non-coding RNA, 2604 nt
Organism: Monomorium pharaonis (pharaoh ant)
Lineage: Eukaryota; Metazoa; Arthropoda; Insecta; Hymenoptera; Formicidae
Exons: 2
Source: RefSeq, a predicted model, not a curated record